Molecule: small nuclear RNA, 95 nt
Filed under: Otolemur garnettii (small-eared galago)
Lineage: Eukaryota; Metazoa; Chordata; Mammalia; Primates; Galagidae
Source: RNAcentral
AUGCUUCCGCAGCAUGCAUACUAAAGCUGGAAGGACGCAGAGAAGGUUGGCGUGGCAAGGAUAACACACAGACUAGUGAAGUGUUUCAUAGUUUU